AACGAACGCUGGCGGCAUGCCUAACACAUGCAAGUCGAACGAGACCUUCGGGUCUAGUGGCGCACGGGUGCGUAACGCGUGGGAAUCUGCCCCUUGGUUCGGAAUAACAGCGAGAAAUUGCUGCUAAUACCGGAUAAUGACGUAAGUCCAAAGAUUUAUCGCCAAGGGAUGAGCCCGCGUAGGAUUAGCUAGUUGGUGUGGUAAAGGCGCACCAAGGCGACGAUCCUUAGCUGGUCUGAGAGGAUGAUCAGCCACACUGGGACUGAGACACGGCCCAGACUCCUACGGGAGGCAGCAGUGGGGAAUAUUGGACAAUGGGCGAAAGCCUGAUCCAGCAAUGCCGCGUGAGUGAUGAAGGCCUUAGGGGUUGUAAAGGCUCUUUUACCCGGGAAGAUAAUGACUGUACCGGGAGAAUAAGCCCCGGCUAACUCCGUGCCAGCAGCCGCGGUAAAGUGACUACU
This 461-nucleotide ribosomal RNA is filed under the name uncultured bacterium. RNAcentral's name for it is "bacterial SSU rRNA". It matches the Rfam family "Bacterial small subunit ribosomal RNA", at positions 29 to 533 of the family's 1533-position model. The record is from RNAcentral.